Molecule: unclassified non-coding RNA, 302 nt
Filed under: Thanatephorus cucumeris
Lineage: Eukaryota; Fungi; Basidiomycota; Agaricomycetes; Cantharellales; Ceratobasidiaceae
Description: partial internal transcribed spacer region
Rfam family: Eukaryotic small subunit ribosomal RNA (bases 1-46)
Source: RNAcentral
AAGUCGUAACAAGGUUUCCGUAGGUGAACCUGCGGAAGGAUCAUUAUUGAAUUUUAAUGAAGAGUUUGGUUGUAGCUGGCCCAUUUAUUUGGGCACGUGCACACCUUCCUCUUUCAUCCCACACACACCUGUGAACCUGUGAGACAGAUGGGGAAUUUACUUGUUGCUUUUUGGAAUACAAAGGCAAUAGGUUAUUGGACCCUCUGUCUACUCAAUCAAUAUAAACUCAAUUAAUUUUAAAACGAAUGUAAUGGAUGUAACACAUCUCAUACUAAGUUUCAACAACGGAUCUCUUGGCUCUC